This 464-nucleotide ribosomal RNA is filed under the name uncultured bacterium. RNAcentral describes it as "partial 16S ribosomal RNA". It matches the Rfam family "Bacterial small subunit ribosomal RNA", at positions 28 to 507 of the family's 1533-position model. The record is from RNAcentral.
GAUGAACGCUGGCGGCGUGCUUAACACAUGCAAGUCGAACGGAAAGGCUCCUGCUUGCAGGGGUACUCGAGUGGCGAACGGGUGAGUAACACGUGGUGAUCUGCCCUGCACUUCGGGAUAAGCCUGGGAAACUGGGUCUAAUACCGGAUAGGACCACAUUUUGGAUGGUGUGGUGGAAAGUUUUUCGGUGUGGGAUGAGCUCGCGGCCUAUCAGCUUGUUGGUGGGGUAAUGGCCUACCAAGGCGUCGACGGGUAGCCGGCCUGAGAGGGUGUACGGCCACAUUGGGACUGAGAUACGGCCCAGACUCCUACGGGAGGCAGCAGUGGGGAAUAUUGCACAAUGGGCGCAAGCCUGAUGCAGCGACGCCGCGUGGGGGAUGACGGCCUUCGGGUUGUAAACUCCUUUCGCUAGGGACGAAGCGCAAGUGACGGUACCUGGAGAAGAAGCACCGGCUAACUACGUG